RNAcentral lists this long non-coding RNA (224 nucleotides) under Meleagris gallopavo (turkey). RNAcentral's name for it is "lncRNA (ENSMGAG00000020101.1)". Lineage: Eukaryota; Metazoa; Chordata; Aves; Galliformes; Phasianidae. The record is from RNAcentral.
UAUUUCCUUGGCAUUAAUUACAGUUCAAGAUGAGCAGUUUUUCCUCUAUAGCUCUUUUCUGUUUCACAGUGAAAGUAAACUGCGGUUCAAGGACACAUCCUGAAACUCAAACUUACAAGUAUUUACCUGGUGGAGACCACGCAGAGAACUUCACAGCACACAGGUGCAGCUCAGUGAACUUCACAAGGUUUGGCAAUUGUCUUCCCACUCCUCUCUACGCAUAA